UAAACCGAGAGAGCUGUUCACUGAAACUAUCUCCUGAAAGUCUUUUACUUUGUGUGCUCACCAUCCUGGUUGCCUGGGACACAUCUGGGGGACUGCAGGAGCCCAAGAACCCAGGAACCCACAGCUGGCGCUUUAACAGGGACCCUGUGAGAUGGACAGGGCUUUACCAUGACCACACUUUUCUGCAAAAAAAAUUCCUCCAGUUUGGCUUUUUCCAGUAUUCAGACAUUGUCUUGGGCCACACUGUUAACCCAUCCUAAUGUGGGGAAAACCCAAACUACUCAUGGGAUCUGAGUACGCUGGGUGUCCAGCACACAGGACUCUGAAGCCCCAGGACUGCUGGUUCUUCGUCAGAAGAAAUGAGAUCCUCGGAUUAUUGGGCCACAUCAAAUAAAAUUCAGAGAAAGAGUUUUCAAAGUAUAAAACUAAGUACCUACUGUUAUAAUAAAUUGUUAUAUUAACUCCUCA
Long non-coding RNA from Jaculus jaculus (lesser Egyptian jerboa), 468 nucleotides. RefSeq lists it as uncharacterized. The record is from RefSeq and is a predicted model, not a curated record. The transcript is spliced from 2 exons. NCBI's taxonomy places the organism in Eukaryota, Metazoa, Chordata, Mammalia, Rodentia, Dipodidae.